GACGAACGCUGGCGGCGUGCUUAACACAUGCAAGUCGAACGAUGAACCGGUUUCGGCCGGGGAUUAGUGGCGAACGGGUGAGUAACACGUGGGCAAUCUGCCCUGCACUCUGGGAUAAGCCCGGGAAACUGGGUCUAAUACCGGAUACGACACUCCGAGGCAUCUUGGGGUGUGGAAAGUUCCGGCGGUGCAGGAUGAGCCCGCGGCCUAUCAGCUUGUAGGUGGGGUAAUGGCCUACCAAGGCGACGACGGGUAGCCGGCCUGAGAGGGUGACCGGCCACACUGGGACUGAGACACGGCCCAGACUCCUACGGGAGGCAGCAGUGGGGAAUAUUGCACAAUGGGCGAAAGCCUGAUGCAGCGACGCCGCGUGAGGGAUGACGGCCUUCGGGUUGUAAACCUCUUUCAGCAGGGAAGAAGCGAAAGUGACGGUACCUGCAGAAGAAGCACCGGCUAACUACGUG
RNAcentral lists this ribosomal RNA (464 nucleotides) under uncultured bacterium. Its description in RNAcentral is "partial 16S ribosomal RNA". It matches the Rfam family "Bacterial small subunit ribosomal RNA", at positions 28 to 507 of the family's 1533-position model. The record is from RNAcentral.